CUACGGGCGGCAGCAGUGGGGAAUAUUGGACAAUGGGGGAAACCCUGAUCCAGCAAUGCCGCGUGUGUGAAGAAGGCCUGCGGGUUGUAAAGCACUUUCGGUUGGGAGGACUGCUUCUAGCACUAAUAUUGUUGGAAGUUGACGUUACCUUCAGAAGAAGCACCGGCUAACUCCGUGCCAGCAGCGCGCGGUAAUACGGAGGGUGCAAGCGUUAAUCGGAAUUACUGGGCGUAAAGCGCGCGUAGGCGGCUAGAUCAGUCGGGUGGGAAAGCCCCGGGCUUAACCUGGGAACUGCAUCCGAUACUGUCUAGCUUGAGUACAGGAGAGGAGAGUGGAAUUCCACAUGUAGCGGUGAAAUGCGUAGAUAUGUGGAGGAACACCAAUGGCGAAGGCAGCUCUCUGGCCUGAUACUGACGCUGAGGUGCGAAAGCGUGGGGAGCAAACAGGAUUAGAUACCCUAGUAGUC
Molecule: ribosomal RNA, 466 nt
Filed under: uncultured bacterium
Lineage: Bacteria
Description: partial 16S ribosomal RNA
Rfam family: Bacterial small subunit ribosomal RNA
Source: RNAcentral